RNAcentral lists this long non-coding RNA (207 nucleotides) under Hordeum vulgare. RNAcentral describes it as "long non-coding RNA (HVUL_LNC012566)". Lineage: Eukaryota; Viridiplantae; Streptophyta; Magnoliopsida; Poales; Poaceae. The record is from RNAcentral.
GAGAGAUCAGGGUUUCCCUUCCGGCAACUCGGAAGGUAGGGUUUUGAUGGCAAAACCCCGAGAAUAUAUCUUGGGUGGAAAGGCUAGACUGGGGAGAAUUUUUGUGAAGGCAAGGCUAGAUGACCAUCUUCACAUACGCAAGAGUGAAAGAAUUCCGAUAACAUCGAUAAAAAAAUGGGAGUCAAAUCUACAAAGGAAAAGAAAACA